Molecule: ribosomal RNA, 429 nt
Filed under: Chloroflexota bacterium
Lineage: Bacteria; Bacillati; Chloroflexota
Description: Chloroflexi bacterium partial 16S ribosomal RNA
Rfam family: Bacterial small subunit ribosomal RNA
Source: RNAcentral
UAGGGAAUCUUCGGCAAUGGACGAAAGUCUGACCGAGCAACGCCGCGUGAGUGAAGAAGGUUUUCGGAUCGUAAAACUCUGUUGUUAGAGAAGAACAAGGACGUUAGUAACUGAACGUCCCCUGACGGUAUCUAACCAGAAAGCCACGGCUAACUACGUGCCAGCAGCCGCGGUAAUACGUAGGUGGCAAGCGUUGUCCGGAUUUAUUGGGCGUAAAGCGAGCGCAGGCGGUUUCUUAAGUCUGAUGUGAAAGCCCCCGGCUCAACCGGGGAGGGUCAUUGGAAACUGGGAGGCGUGAGUGCAGCAGAGGAGAGUGGAAUUCCAUGUGUAGCGGUGAAAUGCGUAGAUAUAUGGAGGAACACCAGUAGCGAAGGCGGCUCUCUGGUCUGUAACUGACGCUGAGGCUCGAAAGCGUGGGGAGCAAACAGG